Molecule: ribosomal RNA, 253 nt
Filed under: uncultured bacterium
Lineage: Bacteria
Description: partial 16S ribosomal RNA
Rfam family: Bacterial small subunit ribosomal RNA
Source: RNAcentral
UACGUAGGGGGCAAGCGUUGUCCGGAAUCAUUGGGCGUAAAGAGCGCGUAGGCGGCCCUGUAAGUCCGCUGUGAAAGUCAAGGGCUCAACCCUUGAAUGCCGGUGGAUACUGCAGGGCUAGAGUCCGGAAGAGGCGAGUGGAAUUCCUGGUGUAGCGGUGAAAUGCGCAGAUAUCAGGAGGAACACCGAUGGCGAAGGCAGCUCGCUGGGACGGUACUGACGCUGAGGAGCGAAAGCAUGGGGAGCGAACAGG